This 211-nucleotide long non-coding RNA is filed under the name Sinocyclocheilus grahami. RNAcentral's name for it is "lncRNA (ENSSGRG00000040800.1)". The record is from RNAcentral. Lineage: Eukaryota; Metazoa; Chordata; Actinopteri; Cypriniformes; Cyprinidae.
UUGGACCCACGCUUUGAAUCAGAGGGACGGUUGGGCUUGUCACGGAGGAGAUGCAUGGCUGGAUUUUCUCGUGUUUAAGGAAGGCUUUGGAUUCACUGCAGAAUAAGCUGGAGUGUAAAUUGAUGAGAAUACAGAAGGAGUGAUUGGUCUAAUUCUCAUAUUCAGGGUGACCUAACUCUGAAGACGAGCCGAUACAGUGGACACUUGAGGU